Molecule: ribosomal RNA, 484 nt
Filed under: uncultured bacterium
Lineage: Bacteria
Description: partial 16S ribosomal RNA
Rfam family: Bacterial small subunit ribosomal RNA
Source: RNAcentral
AUUGAACGCUGGCGGCAGGCCUAACACAUGCAAGUCGAGCGGAUGAAGGGAGCUUGCUCCUGGAUUCAGCGGCGGACGGGUGAGUAAUGCCUAGGAAUCUGCCUGGUAGUGGGGGAUAACGUCCGGAAACGGGCGCUAAUACCGCAUACGUCCUGAGGGAGAAAGUGGGGGAUCUUCGGACCUCACGCUACCAGAUGAGCCUAGGUCGGAUUAGCUAGUUGGUGGGGUAAAGGCCUACCAAGGCGACGAUCCGUAACUGGUCUGAGAGGAUGAUCAGUCACACUGGAACUGAGACACGGUCCAGACUCCUACGGGGGGCAGCAGUGGGGAAUAUUGGACAAUGGGCGAAAGCCUGAUCCAGCCAUGCCGCGUGUGUGAAGAAGGUCUUCGGAUUGUAAAGCACUUUAAGUUGGGAGGAAGGGCAGUAAGUUAAUACCUUGCUGUUUUGACGUUACCAACAGAAUAAGCACCGGCUAACUUCGUG